AGUUUGAUCCUGGCUCAGAACGAACGCUGGCGGUGCGUUUUAAGCAUGCAAGUCGAACGGCACGAGGCGCAAGCCUCAGAGAGUGGCGGACGGGUGAGUAACACGUGGAUAAUCUGCCCCUAGGUUUGGGAUAGCCUGUGGAAACACGGGGUAAUACCGGAUGUGGUUAUCUACACACAAGUGUAAGUAAAGAAAGGCGCUUUUUGUGUCGCCUAGGGAUGAGUCCGCGGUCCAUUAGCUAGUUGGUGGGGUAAUAGCCUACCAAGGCGACGAUGGAUAGCCGGCCUGAGAGGGUGGACGGCCACAUUGGGACUGAGACACGGCCCAGACUCCUACGGGAGGCAGCAGCUAAGAAUCUUCCGCAAUGGACGAAAGUCUGACGGAGCGACGCCGCGUGAACGAAGAAGGCCGUGAGGUUGUAAAGUUCUUUUCCGGGGGAGGAAUGAUCGUGGAAUUAACUAUCCGCGAGAUGACGUGAACCUGGGAAUAAGCCCCGGCUAACUACGUGCCAGCAGCCGCGGUAACACGUAGGGGGCGAGCGUUGUUCGGAAUUAUUGGGCGUAAAGGGUGCGUAGGCUGUGCAUCAAGUCUGGUGUGAAAUACCCCGGCUCAACUGGGGGGGCGCGCUGGAAACUGUUGUACUUGAGUACAGGAGGGGAAGUUGGAAUUCCAGGUGUAGGGGUGAAAUCUGUAGAGAUCUGGAAGAACACCGGUGGCGAAGGCGGCUUUCUGGCUGACAACUGACGCUGAGGCGCGAAAGCGUGGGGAGCAAACAGGAUUAGAUACCCUGGUAGUCCACGCCGUAAACGAUGAUUACUGGGUGUAGGGGGUAUCGACUCCCUCUGUGCCGAAGCUAACGCGAUAAGUAAUCCACCUGGGGAGUACGGCCGCAAGGCUAAAACUCAAAGGAAUUGACGGGGGCCCGCACAAGCAGUGGAGUAUGCGGUUUAAUUCGAGGCAACGCGAAGAACCUUACCAGGGUUUGACAUCCCGCGCUCGGGGUAGAGAUACCUUUUUCCCUUCGGGGACGCGGAGACAGGUGGUGCAUGGUUGUCGUCAGCUCGUGUCGUGAGAUGUUCGGUUAAGUCCGGCAACGAGCGCAACCCUCGUUGUCAGUUGCCAUCAUUUGGUUGGGCACUCUGGCGAGACUGCCGUUGACAAAACGGAGGAAGGUGGGGAUGACGUCAAAUCAUCAUGCCCCUUAUGUCCUGGGCUACACACGUACUACAAUGGGCGUUACAACGGGCAGCGAAACCGCGAGGUGGAGCGAAUCCCCAAAGGCGCCCUCAGUUCGGAUUGCAGGCUGAAACUCGCCUGCAUGAAGCCGGAAUUGCUAGUAAUGGCAGGUCAGCAUACUGCCGUGAAUACGUUCCCGGGCCUUGUACACACCGCCCGUCA
This 1398-nucleotide ribosomal RNA is filed under the name uncultured bacterium. RNAcentral's name for it is "bacterial SSU rRNA". It matches the Rfam family "Bacterial small subunit ribosomal RNA". The record is from RNAcentral.